GAAGAUUGGCUCCGAGAACCGGGUCGGUCGGGCCGUGUGUGUCGCCUCGCUCCCCGCGCGGCCGCGUCGCCGUUCGCUCGGCGUCGCGCAGCCGGGCGCCGGAACACUCUUCACGCGAAGCGGCGGACCGGUACGGGGCUGUAGCGUUGGCGUCGGACUCGGCAUCCCGAGAUCGAAAGAGCACAAGUCUG
Molecule: long non-coding RNA, 191 nt
Organism: Octopus sinensis (East Asian common octopus)
Lineage: Eukaryota; Metazoa; Mollusca; Cephalopoda; Octopoda; Octopodidae
Exons: 4
Source: RefSeq, a predicted model, not a curated record